GUUUGAUCCUGGCUCAGGAUGAACCUUUGCGGUGUGCCUAAUACAUGCAAGUCGAACGGUGACGAUUUUGUAGCAAUACGAAUGAAAUCAUAGUGGCGAACGGGUGAGUAACGCGUUGGUGAUCUGCCUCGAAGUGUGGAAUAACUUCCCGAAAGGGUAGCUAAUACCGCAUAGUCUCUCAAGGUUUAGAAAAUUGAGAGUAAAGGAUUUAUUCGCUUCGAGAGGAGCCUGCGUCCCAUCAGCUAGUUGGUAGGGUAAUAGCCUACCAAGGCAAUGACGGGUAGGGGACCUGAGAGGGUGGCCCCCCACAAUGGAACUGAAACACGGUCCAUACACCUACGGGUGGCAGCAGUAGGGAAUAUUAGAAAUGGGCGAAAGCCUGAUCUAGCAACACCGCGUGUGCGAUGAAGGCCUUCGGGUUGUAAAGCACUUUUUGGAGGGAAUAGGAAGGAAGGUACCUCCAGAAUAAGUCUCGGCUAACUACGUGCCAGCAGCCGCGGUAACACGUAGGAGGCAAACGUUAUCCGGAUUCACUGGGCGUAAAGCGCGUGUAGGUGGUUCUGUAAGUAGGGCGUGAAAGCUCCCGGCUCAACUGGGAGAGGCCGUACUAAACUGCAGAGCUAGAGGAUGGUAGAGGGAGGUGGAAUUCCAGGUGUAGUGGUGAAAUGCGCAGAUAUCUGGAGGAACACCAGUGGCGAAGGCGGCCUCCUGGACCAUUCCUGACACUCAGACGCGAAAGCUAGGGUAGCAAACGAAAAGAGAGACUCCGGUAGUCCUAGCCAUAAACGAUCCAGUGUGAGGUCGGCGGUUUAAUCACCGUCGGUGUCCAAGCUAACGCGAUAAAUCUGCCGCCUGAGGACUACGGCCGCAAGGCUAAAACUCAAAGGAAUUGACGGGUCCCCGCACAAGCAGCGGAGCGUGUGGUUUAAUUCGAUGCUCCGCGAAGAACCUUACCUGGGUUUGACAUAACAGUGGUAGAGAAGUGAAAACGGAUCGACCCUUCGGGGAGCUGUUACAGGUGUUGCAUGCCUGUCGUCAGCUCGUGUCGUGAGAUGUUCGGUUAAGUCCGCUAACGAGCGCAACCCGCGCUGUGUGUUACAAGUGUCACACAGUACCGCCGGUAUUAAGUCGGAGGAAGGUGCGGAUGACGUCAAGUCAGCAUGACCUUUAUAUCCAGGGCUACACACGCGCUACAAUGGUCAGAACAAUAGGUUGCCAAGCCGCAAGGCGGAGCCAAUCCUCCAAAUCUGGCCUCAGUUCAGAUUGCAGGCUGCAACUCGCCUGCAUGAAGUCGGAGUUGCUAGUAACCGCAGGUCAGCAUACUGCGGUGAAUACGUUCCCGGG
This 1344-nucleotide ribosomal RNA is filed under the name uncultured bacterium. Its description in RNAcentral is "16S ribosomal RNA". It matches the Rfam family "Bacterial small subunit ribosomal RNA", at positions 11 to 1378 of the family's 1533-position model. The record is from RNAcentral.